This 507-nucleotide ribosomal RNA is filed under the name uncultured Lachnospiraceae bacterium. RNAcentral's name for it is "bacterial SSU rRNA". It matches the Rfam family "Bacterial small subunit ribosomal RNA", at positions 1 to 507 of the family's 1533-position model. The record is from RNAcentral. Lineage: Bacteria; Bacillati; Bacillota; Clostridia; Lachnospirales; Lachnospiraceae.
AGACGUUUGGUACGUCCUCGGACGUCAGGAUGAACGCUGGCGGCGUGCCUAACACAUGCAAGUCGAGCGAAGCACUUCAUUAGAACUCUCGGAGGGACGAGGAAGUGACUGAGCGGCGGACGGGUGAGUAACGCGUGGGCAACCUGCCUUACACAGGGGGAUAACAGUUAGAAAUGACUGCUAAUACCGCAUAAGACCACAUUGCCGCAUGGCAGGGUGGUAAAAACUCCGGUGGUGUAAGAUGGGCCCGCGUCUGAUUAGGUAGUUGGGCAGGGUAGAGGCCUACCAAGCCUACGAUCAGUAGCCGGCCUGAGAGGGUGGACGGCCACAUUGGGACUGAGACACGGCCCAAACUCCUACGGGAGGCAGCAGUGGGGAAUAUUGCACAACGGGGGAAACCCUGAUGCAGCGACGCCGCGUGAGUGAGGAAGUAUUUCGGUAUGUAAAGCUCUAUCAGCAGGGAAGAAAAUGACGGUACCUGACUAAGAAGCCCCGGCUAACUACGUG